UCCGGUUUGUCACCGGCAGUCUGGCGUGAGUCCCCAACUUAAUGCUGGCAACACGCCACGGGGGUUGCGCUCGUUGCGGGACUUAACCCAACAUCUCACGACACGAGCUGACGACAGCCAUGCAGCACCUGUGUAGGGCCCCGAAGGACACCAUAUCUCUAUGGCUUUUCCCUACAUGUCAAACCCAGGUAAGGUUCUUCGCGUUGCAUCGAAUUAAUCCACAUAAUCCACCGCUUGUGCGGGUCCCCGUCAAUUCCUUUGAGUUUUAACCUUGCGGCCGUACUCCCCAGGCGGAGUGCUUAAUGCGUUAGCUACGGCACGGAUCCCGUGGAAGGAAACCCACACCUAGCGCCCACCGUUUACGGCGUGGACUAC
This 375-nucleotide unclassified non-coding RNA is filed under the name uncultured bacterium. Its description in RNAcentral is "contains 16S-23S intergenic spacer region". The record is from RNAcentral.